GACGAACGCUGGCGGCGUGCUUAGCACAUGCAAGUCGAACGGAAAGGCCUGCUUUCCCUUGUGGAUUGCGGGUACUCGAGUGGCGAACGGGUGAGCAACACGUGAGUGAUCUGCCCCCAACUUGGGUAUAAGCCUGGGAAACUGGGUCUAAUUCCCGAUAGGACUGCAGGGUGGUGCCUGUGGUGGAAAACGAUUUUCUAGUGGUUGGGGAUGAGCUCGCGGCCUAUCAGCUUGUUGGUGGGGUAAUGGCCUACCAAGGCGGCGACGGGUAGCCGGCCUGAGAGGGUGGACGGCCACAUUGGGACUGAGAUACGGCCCAGACUCCUACGGGAGGCAGCAGUGGGGAAUAUUGCACAAUGGGCGGAAGCCUGAUGCAGCGACGCCGCGUGGGGGAUGACGGCCUUCGGGUUGUAAACUCCUUUCGACCGCGAGGAAGCCACCUGGUUGGAAGGGUGGUGACGGUAGUGGUAGAAGAAGCACCGGCUAACUACGUG
RNAcentral lists this ribosomal RNA (494 nucleotides) under uncultured bacterium. RNAcentral describes it as "partial 16S ribosomal RNA". It matches the Rfam family "Bacterial small subunit ribosomal RNA", at positions 28 to 507 of the family's 1533-position model. The record is from RNAcentral.